GAGUUUGAUCGUGGCUCAGAGCGAACGCUGGCGGCAGGCCUAACACAUGCAAGUCGAACGGGAUCCUUCGGGAUUAGUGGCGGACGGGUGAGUAACACGUGGGGAACGUGCCUUUUGGUUCGGAAUAGCUCCUGGAAACGGGUGGUAAUGCCGAAUGUGCCCUUCGGGGGAAAGAUUUAUCGCCAUUAGAGCGGCCCGCGUCUGAUUAGCUAGUUGGUGAGGUAAAGGCUCACCAAGGCGACGAUCAGUAGCUGGUCUGAGAGGAUGACCAGCCACAUUGGGACUGAGACACGGCCCAAACUCCUACGGGAGGCAGCAGUGGGGAAUCUUGCGCAAUGGGCGAAAGCCUGACGCAGCCAUGCCGCGUGAAUGAUGAAGGUCUUAGGAUUGUAAAAAUUCUUUCACCGGGGACGAUAAUGACGGUACCCGGAGAAGAAGCCCGGCUAACUCGUGCCAGCAGCCGCCGUAAG
Molecule: ribosomal RNA, 470 nt
Filed under: uncultured bacterium
Lineage: Bacteria
Description: bacterial SSU rRNA
Rfam family: Bacterial small subunit ribosomal RNA
Source: RNAcentral